UGACAGCUGGCGACUCGGCGAGCUGGCGAGUUUGUUGAUGCAAUUCUCCCCUCCGAUGGUUGCUAUCGUUUCCAUAGUGUUUAUUAUUACGGUUUGAAAAUUGAAAAUGAGUAGAAAAUUUCUGGACACAAACGACAGUUUGAGAGUACAGGAUGCCGUUAUUCAUCAAUGAGAUCCAAUAUUGGAAACCAAUUAAAUUGCCCAUUUUAAAGUGAAAACAUAUGGUUUGUGUAACAUAUCUCAAGACUGCUCUGCCUACAUUUUUGUCUUGAUAAGACUCUUCUUUACAGCGUGCAUUUCAAAGAUGGGAAUUGAAUCGAACAAAGCUUUUGAUAUCAUGGAGGAUGGUGUUAUUUCUACG
Molecule: long non-coding RNA, 361 nt
Organism: Aedes aegypti (yellow fever mosquito)
Lineage: Eukaryota; Metazoa; Arthropoda; Insecta; Diptera; Culicidae
Exons: 3
Source: RefSeq, a predicted model, not a curated record